RNAcentral lists this ribosomal RNA (472 nucleotides) under uncultured bacterium. RNAcentral describes it as "bacterial SSU rRNA". It matches the Rfam family "Bacterial small subunit ribosomal RNA", at positions 17 to 507 of the family's 1533-position model. The record is from RNAcentral.
UCCUGGCUCAGAUUGAACGCUGGCGGCAUGCCUUACACAUGCAAGUCGAACGGCAGCACGGGAGCUUGCUCCUGGUGGCGAGUGGCGAACGGGUGAGUAAUACAUCGGAACGUACCCUGAAUGGGGGAUAACGUAGCGAAAGUUACGCUAAUACCGCAUAUUCUGUGAGCAGGAAAGAGGGGGGAUCGCAAGACCUCUUGCUUUAGGAGCGGCCGAUGUCGGAUUGGCUAGUUGGUGAGGUAAAGGCUCACCAAGGCGACGAUCCGUAGCGGGUCUGAGAGGAUGAUCCGCCACACUGGGACUGAGACACGGCCCAGACUCCUACGGGAGGCAGCAGUGGGGAAUAUUGGACAAUGGGCGAAAGCCUGAUCCAGCAAUGCCGCGUGAGUGAUGAAGGCCUUAGGGUUGUAAAGCUCUUUUACCAGGGAUGAUAAUGACAGUACCUGGAGAAGAAGCACCGGCUAACUACGUG